RNAcentral lists this unclassified non-coding RNA (391 nucleotides) under soil metagenome. Its description in RNAcentral is "partial contains 5.8S ribosomal RNA, internal transcribed spacer 2, and large subunit ribosomal RNA". The stretch from base 1 to 122 matches the Rfam family "5.8S ribosomal RNA", at positions 35 to 154 of the family's 154-position model. The record is from RNAcentral.
GAUGAAGAACGCAGCGAAAUGCGAUACUUGGUGUGAAUUGCAGAAUCCCGUGAACCAUCGAGUCUUUGAACGCAAGUUGCGCCCGAAGCCAUUAGGCCGAGGGCACGCCUGCCUGGGCGUCACACGUCGUUGCCCCCCCAUCUACUCCUUCGGGAUUGCGGGGGGCGGAUGAUGGCCUCCCGUGCGCCUCGCCGCGCGGUUGGCAUAAAUGCCAAGUCCUCGGCGACGCACGCCACGACAAUCGGUGGUUGCGAAACCUCGGUUGCCCGUCGUGUGCGGUCGUCGUGCAUCGAGGGCUCGAAAAAAUUGCCGGGUUCCGGCUCGGCUUUCAACGCGACCCCAGGUCAGGCGGGGUUACCCGCUGAAUUUAAGCAUAUCAAUAAGCGGAGGA